Molecule: ribosomal RNA, 466 nt
Filed under: uncultured bacterium
Lineage: Bacteria
Description: partial 16S ribosomal RNA
Rfam family: Bacterial small subunit ribosomal RNA
Source: RNAcentral
GAUGAACGCUGGCGGCGUGCUUAACACAUGCAAGUCGAACGGAAAGGCCGAAGCUUGCUUCGGUACUCGAGUGGCGAACGGGUGAGUAACACGUGGGUGAUCUGCGCUGUACUUCGGGAUAAGCUUGGGAAACUGGGUCUAAUACCGGAUAUGACAAUCUCUUGGAUGGGGUUGUGGAAAGCUUUUGCGGUAUGGGAUGAGCUCGCGGCCUAUCAGCUUGUUGGUGGGGUAAUGGCCUACCAAGGCGUCGACGGGUAGCCGGCCUGAGAGGGUGUACGGCCACAUUGGGACUGAGAUACGGCCCAGACUCCUACGGGAGGCAGCAGUGGGGAAUAUUGCACAAUGGGCGCAAGCCUGAUGCAGCGACGCCGCGUGGGGGAUGACGGCCUUCGGGUUGUAAACUCCUUUCGCAACCGACGAAGCUUUUGUGACGGUAGGUUGAGAAGAAGCACCGGCUAACUACGUG